CGCUCGGCGGCCAUGCGCUCGCGGGGGUUUUUAUUUCUCGGUUUAAAAACUGCCCUUUGGGUAAAUGCAGCAUGGCCAGCUCCUGGAAGGGAGACUUCUGCAUUUCUCGACUGAAAACAGUUCGUAAUUGACUGCUAAAAGUUGGGUGGUGAUGAUGAUGAAGGAAAGCCAAAUAUAGGCGGAGUAGACUGUUGGUGCUGAGAUUUUUCUCUUUCUGGGUAGACGCGCUUUACCCCAUACUGUAGAAUAAUCUUUGAAGAGUAUUGCAGUAAUGCUUGUUUUUUUUCUUCCCUGGCAGAAUGGUGUCUUGAAGUAAAGAAGUUUGGUAUUUCCAGAGAAAUGUGAUCCCUUUAGUACAGGGAGCAGGCAGGUCCCUGAAAAUCGCACCAAUGUGAAGGUGUUCCUACUGAAAACUUGCUUGUCUGAGGAAGAAGAAAUCCACUAAAAUACUCAAGGGAGCAGGGAAGCAGUCGUCAUAAACUCUACCUGUUUUCCUGUCCUAAGACUUUAAGAAAUACUAAAAAUUACACUGCUGUGCAUAUAUUAAAGUUAUCAAAACAAUUUA
This is a non-coding RNA of Struthio camelus australis, 565 nucleotides long. NCBI's taxonomy places the organism in Eukaryota, Metazoa, Chordata, Aves, Struthioniformes, Struthionidae. The record is from RefSeq and is a predicted model, not a curated record.